Molecule: long non-coding RNA, 211 nt
Filed under: Nicotiana benthamiana
Lineage: Eukaryota; Viridiplantae; Streptophyta; Magnoliopsida; Solanales; Solanaceae
Description: long non-coding RNA (NBEN_LNC006378)
Source: RNAcentral
GUACAGUGAAUACAAAUCAAAACUAACUUCUUUAAUCAAAUGCUUAUCACUCAGUACCUAAUCAACUACUGUUACAUAGGGAUUCAGUCUAGCACACAGCUAGAAGCCAACUGAUCAUGAUGUUUCAUUUCAAUUCAAAUUCAAGAGCUAUAUUGAGGCGAACUGGAGAUGUGUACCUGGUAUUAUAGUGAAAUAGAAAGGGAGAAGAGGA